GGUUGCGAUCAUACCAGCACUAAUGCACCGGAUCCCAUCAGAACUCCGCAGUUAAGCGUGCUUGGGCGAGAGAAGUACUAGGAUGGGUGACCCCCUGGGAAGUCCUCGUGUUGCAACCC
RNAcentral lists this ribosomal RNA (119 nucleotides) under Helianthus annuus (common sunflower). The record is from RNAcentral. Lineage: Eukaryota; Viridiplantae; Streptophyta; Magnoliopsida; Asterales; Asteraceae.